AAAGAAUAUAAAAUACAAGUAAGAAAGAUUUAUUUUAAGAUUUUUGAAUAUGAGGGGCGGAAGCAAAAGAAAUUUAAAACGACUAAUAAACAAGGAGUGUAACAAUAAAAUAAACGAAGCAAAUCAUGAGUCAUAUACACGUUGUAUGUCAUCUAAUUAAAGGACAACUCCAUAAAUCCCUUACCGAAAUUUUUCCGUAAAUUUAAUAGUUGCAUCAAAUAUAGAUGGUGUCCACGGCAAGCUUUCGCUUAAAAAUUUCAAACGUUUUUAUGAUGAUUUAAUGGAUUCAAUUCGGGCUAACGGGGAGGAAUAUCCUGAAAAGGGGAUAUGCCUUCAAAGUUGUAAAAAAACGACAUUUUCAGUCAAUAUGUGUCAGCAAAAAGAAGGAGGCUUUAGUUAGUAACAAUUAGUUAAUAAUAAUUAUUAUUUACCAAAUUAACAGCGGGAAUUAAAAACUUUGUUUAUAUAAUAUAGAAUAGCUUAUAAUAUUAAAUAGAUGUACAAUUUUUCAGAAUUUUACAAUAAUUAAUAAACGCAUUAACAAAUAAUUCAAAAUUAUAAAAUUUGAAUGUUAAUCAAAGAACUCAUACU
Molecule: long non-coding RNA, 591 nt
Filed under: Lucilia cuprina (Australian sheep blowfly)
Lineage: Eukaryota; Metazoa; Arthropoda; Insecta; Diptera; Calliphoridae
Description: uncharacterized LOC124419888
Source: RNAcentral